This 211-nucleotide long non-coding RNA is filed under the name Carica papaya (papaya). RNAcentral describes it as "long non-coding RNA (CPAP_LNC011753)". The record is from RNAcentral. Lineage: Eukaryota; Viridiplantae; Streptophyta; Magnoliopsida; Brassicales; Caricaceae.
UAUAUUUUAUAUUGCAUAUCCUACUACAGUAAGGUAAUCCACCAAGUUAUGUGUCUGCACUAGGUGAAUUGUCAUUAAUAUAGGACAUACAAUAUUAAAUUUGGGAAUGAUAUUCUGAUACCAUUAUUAUGUGUAAAUUUUAGGAAGAUAACUUUUCAGGUUUAGAAUAUGAUAGAAAAAAUGAGAGAUGCCUAGAGAGUGAGAAAUAUAU